AUAUCUGAGGUGCGACUGCGGGACGUAGAGCGGACUGGGCCUUUCCCGCUGGCCCGUGGCCUCAAUCAGAGAUGGGGUUCCACCAUAUUGCUCACGCUGGCCUAGAACUGCCGAGCUCAAAGAAUCCACCUACCGUGACGUCCCAAAGUUGUGGAAUUGCAGUGCUUCACUGGCCCCGGCCUUAUUUCCAAAAUGAA
Molecule: non-coding RNA, 197 nt
Filed under: Pan troglodytes (chimpanzee)
Lineage: Eukaryota; Metazoa; Chordata; Mammalia; Primates; Hominidae
Source: RNAcentral